Molecule: ribosomal RNA, 316 nt
Filed under: Sternopygus sp.
Lineage: Eukaryota; Metazoa; Chordata; Actinopteri; Gymnotiformes; Sternopygidae
Description: partial 12S ribosomal RNA
Rfam family: Bacterial small subunit ribosomal RNA
Source: RNAcentral
UCCGCCCGAGUACUACAAGCAUAAGCUUAAAACUCAAAGGACUUGGCGGUGUCUCAGACCCACCUAGAGGAGCCUGUUCUAGAACCGAUAACCCCCGUUAAACCUCACCACCCCUUGUUUUCCCCGCCUAUAUACCGCCGUCGUCAGCUUACCCUGUGAAGGACAAACAGUAAGCAAAAUGGAUAAAACCCGAAACGUCAGGCCGAGGUGUAGCGAACGAGGUGGGAAGAAAUGGGCUACAUUUUCUAUCAUAGAAUAUUCACGAACGGCACCCUGAAAUAUAUGCCUGAAGGUGGAUUUAGUAGUAAAAAGAAAA